UACGUAGGGGGCUAGCGUUGUCCGGAAUCAUUGGGCGUAAAGAGCGUGUAGGCGGCCCGGUAAGUCCGCUGUAAAAGUCAAAGGCUCAACCUUUGAAUGUCAGUGGAUACUGCCGGGCUAGAGUCCGGAAGAGGCGAGUGGAACUCCUGGUGUAGCGGUGGAAUACGCAGAUAUCAGGAAGAACACCAACGGCGAAGGCAGCUCGCUGGGACGGUACUGACGCUGAGACGCGAAAGCGUGGGGAGCGAACAGG
RNAcentral lists this ribosomal RNA (253 nucleotides) under uncultured bacterium. RNAcentral describes it as "partial 16S ribosomal RNA". It matches the Rfam family "Bacterial small subunit ribosomal RNA", at positions 524 to 776 of the family's 1533-position model. The record is from RNAcentral.